Molecule: long non-coding RNA, 2096 nt
Organism: Chinchilla lanigera (long-tailed chinchilla)
Lineage: Eukaryota; Metazoa; Chordata; Mammalia; Rodentia; Chinchillidae
Source: Ensembl
AGAGGUUUUUAUUUCCAUGACAUUUUUCUUGAUAUUCAGACUAAAUUUUUAGAAUAUCCGUAGUCUUUCCUUUCCUGUAGGCCUUCUUUCAGUGAUGGAUAAGAAAGGAGUCAGCUUCCAGGACCGAUGGUCUCGUGAGGAUGCUGCUGUGCUCCUUCGGGUUGCUCCCAUGUACAUGGUGACUAAAAGUUAAGCUUUAUGAGAACAGAAAUCCUUCCUUUUUUGUUCAUGGGUGGAUUUGAGCAUCUGUAAUGGAACCAGGGACAUAUUAUGCAUUUAGUAAAUAUUUAUUAUUAGAACAUUUAUAUAAUUUUUCUAAGUUAGUAUUAUAUCUAUUAAGACUCUUACAUUGUACAUGUUUUUGAUUUUAUUCCUAGGAGCAAUAACGAUGGUGCCCCUUCAGGAAUGGUGCCCCAGUGAAGUGUUUUCAACAAUAACUCAAAUACUCAGCAAACACUAUGCUUUCACUGAUGUGAAGAACUAUAUAAAGACUACAACAAUGAAUACAUUAUGGAGGGUUAAAUACGUCAUCUUACUGAAAUCUGAAGACAACUGGAUACUACUCAGUAGUGCCUGCGUCAAGUCUGAUGAAAUGCUAGUCAAAGUGGGAGUUUGAUAUUUAUUCCCCAGAGUGAGCAACUAAUUUUGGAAUAUACAAUCAUGCUAAGGGAAAUGCUUCCAGAGGAGAAUAUUUUUCUUUUUUUUUUUUUGGUUUUUCUCCGGUACCGGGAACUGAACUCACGACCUUGCACUUGCCAGGCAGGCACUUUGCCGCUGAGCUAAAUCCCCAGCCCCUGAGCUAAAUCCCCAGCCCCAAGAGGAGAAUAUUUUUCAAUAACCUUAAUAUCUCUAAAAUAUUAGACUUGCUGGAACAAAUAUAAGAAUGUUUAUUAUUAUAAACAAAUAUGGGCGCCAUCAUAAGAAUGUGUUCUGCUAUUGAUUACUACUAUUGAUACAUAUUGCAAGGAAACACUGAUAAUGAUUUCCACCUGAACUUGUUUACAAAAUAGUAAAUAUAUUCUCUAGGAAGUCAGAAAUACAUAGAAAAGAAUAAAGAACAAAGUAAAAAUGGCAAUUUAUAAAUCCACCAUCUGUUUUAAAAAUGAUCAUGUUUGAAUUUUACUCUUUUCCUUUUGGUCACUAUGUGUGUGUCUCUGUGCAUGCUUGUGUAAUUUUGUGUAAUUAUUUUUCUUUUAGUAACCUAUGUUAACCUAUGUGACAGCUUUGUUUCACUAUGGACUGUUUGGCAUGGUAUGAGAACACUAGAAUUUCACAGAGUUUCAAAGCUCAACCUUUGAAUUCUGACAUCCUGGAAUGAAGUCCUAGUUCCCUUUCUAGCUAUGCAUUCUGGCAAAUUAAAGGGGUCUUCUAAAGCUCAGAUUAUUUACAUGGAAAUAGUAACAACUAUCUUGCAGAUUCAAAUGGAUUGAUCCAUGUGACAUAUUUCAUUCAGAAGAUAUUACAUUUAUUUAUUUUCAAUAGCUACUUGGUAAGCCAUCAGUAUUACAGGCUGUAUUUUUUUUUUUUUUUCCUCCGGUACCGGGAACUGAACUCACAACCUUGCGCCUGCCAGGCAGGCAUUUUUGCCGCUGAGCUAAAUCCCCAGCCCCUACAGGCUGUAUUUAAACAAAUAUCCUAUAGAAUCUCAGAAAAUUCUUCUAUAAAUUAGAGAAGACUAUGUCAGUACACUCAUUUUCAAAAGACGGAUUCUUUAGUAGCCAUUUAUGUAUGGCAGUUAAAGUAUGAAAAGAGAAAUUAAAGAGUAAAUUAAUUAAACAACUGAAAUAAGGGAAUAGCUUAUGAAAAAUUAUUAAACUAUAAAUCUUCACUUUAAUGGGUUGACUAUCUUCUAUAUUCCAUUUACAAUUUUUAAGAAAAUAUAUACUGUCUAGUGCAACAACAGUUUGUCUCUUUAGUAGUGUAUUUUUAAUCUGAAUUCACAGUGUAUGUUCAAGGUUUUCAUUUGUUUAUUAAACUUGUGUUGAUAAAAAAUUUAACAGACUAAUGGAGCGUAAAACAUUGUUUAAAGUUGUCUUGCUAGGCUAACACAGAGGUUAAUAUUUUACUGACUUGCAUGUUUUCCUGUCCAUGCUUAC